RNAcentral lists this ribosomal RNA (438 nucleotides) under uncultured bacterium. Its description in RNAcentral is "bacterial SSU rRNA". It matches the Rfam family "Bacterial small subunit ribosomal RNA", at positions 335 to 767 of the family's 1533-position model. The record is from RNAcentral.
ACUCCUACGGGAGGCAGCAGUGGGGAAUAUUGCACAAUGGGGAAACCCUGAUGCAGCCAUGCCGCGUGUGUGAAGAAGGCCUUCGGUUGUAAAGCACUUCAGUAGGGAGGAAGGUAGUGUAGUUAACACCUGCAUUAUUUGACGUUACCUACAGAAGAAGCACCGGCUAACUCCGUGCCAGCAGCCGCGGUAAUACGGAGGGGUGCGAGCGUUAAUCGGAAUUACUGGGCGUAAAGCGCAUGCAGGCGGCCUGUUAAGUCAGAUGUGAAAGCCCGGGGGCUUAACCUCGGAAUUGCAUUUGAAACUGGCAGGCUAGAGUCUUGUAGAGGGGGUAGAAUUUCAGGUGUAGCGGUGAAAUGCGUAGAGAUCUGAAGGAAUACCAGUGGCGAAGGCGGCCCCCUGGACAAGAACUGACGCUCAGAUGCGAAAGCGUGGGGA